Bos taurus (domestic cattle) is the source of this 749-nucleotide long non-coding RNA. The record is from Ensembl. NCBI's taxonomy places the organism in Eukaryota, Metazoa, Chordata, Mammalia, Artiodactyla, Bovidae.
GUCUGGAACAGAGGCUGAAUUCACACUGCUAACAAAUUCCCAGGUGAUGCUGAUGCUGGUGAUCAAACCUGUGCCUCUUUGAGAACCAUCAAUAUGACACGUAGAAUGUAAGCUCCCUGAAGACAAGGGAGUGAUACUUCUCCACCUGAUCCAAGUGGUCCAGCCUUCCCACAGACCCUGGUGAAUGGACACCUUCAUCUUCCUCUAGUCCCACUCUGAGUUACAGAAGCAGUGGAAACAUCACUUUGCAAGAGACUGAUGGCUCUCUAAUGAGAACUUAGAGCAAAUCACUCAGUUGUCAGUUCAGCAUCUGGCAGAGCUCAGACAACCUUGGAGCCAAGAUUACCUUUAAUCUCAUAUGACCCUAGAGAAAAAUGCCAGCCUGCAAUAGACAGUGAAUCCCCCAUAGUGGAGCUGAUGUGGUAACGACAAUGAUGAAUCCGGACAUCUGCAUAUGUGUCUGUCUCUAACAAUAUUGUGUGACAAGAUCUCCCAAAAUGAAUCUUCUUCAAGGGAUGCAGAGGCACCCCCACCCUCGCCUCCAAAUAUCCUCAUGCCUGUGUCGGCCCCAGAAAACGUCAUGAAGACACCAGAAAAACCCAUUAAAGUGAGACUCAGCAGCUACGCAGAACUGAGGCACGGAAGUGUAGGCGUGGCUGCGUUUUUCAGUUUCCAUCACAGAAUGAGACAUGCAGCAGUCAUGACUGUUUGGGUUAAGGAUACAAAACAAUUGUGCAAAUCACUGAGAC